ACGGGAGGCAGCAGUGGGGAAUAUUGGACAAUGGGGGGAACCCUGAUCCAGCGACGCCGCGUGAGUGAAGAAGUAUUUCGGUAUGUAAAGCUCUUUAAGCAGGGAAGAAAAUGACGGUACCUGCAGAAUAAGCCCCGGCUAACUACGUGCCAGCAGCCGCGGUAAUACGUAGGGGGCAAGCGUUAUCCGGAUUUACUGGGUGUAAAGGGAGCGUAGACGGCAUGGCAAGUCUGAAGUGAAAGCCCGUGGCUUAACUGCGGGACUGCUUUGGAAACUGUCACGCUAGAGUGUCGGAGAGGUGAGUGGAACUCCCAGUGUAGCGGUGAAAUGCGUAGAUAUUAGGAGGAACACCAGUGGCGAAGGCGGCUUGCUGGACGACAACUGACGCUGAGGCGCGAAAGCGUGGGGAGCAAACAGGAUUAGAUACCCUGGUA
RNAcentral lists this ribosomal RNA (434 nucleotides) under uncultured Lachnospiraceae bacterium. RNAcentral's name for it is "partial 16S ribosomal RNA". It matches the Rfam family "Bacterial small subunit ribosomal RNA", at positions 341 to 792 of the family's 1533-position model. The record is from RNAcentral. Lineage: Bacteria; Bacillati; Bacillota; Clostridia; Lachnospirales; Lachnospiraceae.